GAAGAGUGAGCCACAGUGUCCCUUCAAGGGAGGGUGUCCUAAGUUUAGGUGCCAAAGAGUUCAGGAAGGAACAACCAAAAAAAGCUUUUUUUUUUUUUUUUUAGAAAUGUGGACAUAUGAGAUGCUUCCACCAUCCUUCUGUAGACACCUCCUCUCUUGUGGCUGGGCAGGAGAGUCUCAUCACCACCUGCAACCACGUGUGCAGAGUGGGAAAGGCUUAACUUUGGAAAAUGCAGAGUCCGUGGAACCUUCUCAGAGUCUCUUGACAUUAUAUCGAGGAGAAGAGAGACAGAAAAGGCAAAGGGAUCUUAAGAAAGAAUUGGAGAUGCCAGAUGCUGGCUGUGUCCUUUACGUGUCACCUCACUGAAUGAAAUGAGUUGGGAUGAGGAGGGCAACCAUCUUUCCUUAGGAGAGGAAGACAUUGGACACCAAAGACCCGAUGAGAAGUGGUAUCUGCGGACAGGCCGCAAUGAAGUGAACUAUCCAGUGGAAACAGCAAAGAGCAAACAAUCACUGAAGUGUCUCGGCUUUAAAGCUCCAGGGUGUUCCAUUUGCCCUUUGCCAUAAAAAUGACAGAGUUGGGUUAAGGAUUCUGUACCCCUUAUUAGCCAUUAGCAUUAACAACAAAGAUGAAAGACCCCAAAGGCAAUUUUUGUCACUGAGAUCUGAAUUUAUUUCCCUUCGCUGAAUCUUAAAUUAGUAGUUAACUGAUGGCGAGAUCUGUACCAAGA
RNAcentral lists this long non-coding RNA (731 nucleotides) under Vulpes vulpes (red fox). Its description in RNAcentral is "lncRNA (ENSVVUG00000029933.1)". Lineage: Eukaryota; Metazoa; Chordata; Mammalia; Carnivora; Canidae. The record is from RNAcentral.